Molecule: ribosomal RNA, 809 nt
Filed under: Harpalus affinis
Lineage: Eukaryota; Metazoa; Arthropoda; Insecta; Coleoptera; Carabidae
Description: eukaryotic LSU rRNA
Rfam family: Eukaryotic large subunit ribosomal RNA
Source: RNAcentral
UGUUCAGGGGUAAACCUGUGGUUCCCGAAAGUUCGAACGGGGAGAUUCAAUUGCCUCACCGGUUAUGACCAUUUAGUAGUGUUGUAUAUGAGACAUUAUAUUAUCUAUGGUAUUUUAUAUACUGUAUGAUUUAUAUAGUGCUCCUCUACUUAAUGUUAUUGUUUAUAGCCGGAGGCGUGCACUUCUCCCCUUGUAGGGSGUCGUGRCCCAUUGGGGUAUAUGUUGUCUAAGGCUUAUAAUGGAGACCGUGGCGUUAUGUUUCGGCAUUAGCGACCCGGACUUAUAAUGUCCCGACAUCUACCCGAUGGUAUGUUGUAUUGAUGGUGGGUCGCUCAACUUAUUGUAGCGAGCGUUCAGACCUAUGACAAAUGCUUGUAUGGUAUUUUGUGGAAAUCGGACAUGUGCCGGUUCUUCACAUAUGGUAUUGUUAGUCAUGGUGUUCUCGAACCGUUCCUUAUCAUCUGUCAACGGCGUUUAUGUUUUGGGUAAUUACAGGACCCGUCUUGAAACACGGACCAAGGAGUCUAGCAUGUGCGCAAGUCGUUGGGAUUUUAUUAAACCUAAAGGCGUAAUGAAAGUAAAUAUUUAUGAAUUUUCGUAAUUCAUUAAUUAAGGGAAGAUGGGUAACGAUUUAUAUGUUACCUCGCAUUCCCGGGGCGUCGCAUACUCAUUGCGAGUUGCGGCGCACCAAGAGCGUACACGCUGGGACCCGAAAGAUGGUGAACUAUGCCUGGUCAGGAUGAAGUCAGGGGAAACCCUGAUGGAGGUCCGUAGCGAUUCUGACGUGCAAAUCGAUCGUAUGAACUGGG